GCCGGGUUGGCGGAAUGGCAUACGCGACGAGCUCAAACCUCGUUGCCCGAAAGGGCUUGUGGGUUCGAAUCCCACACUCGGCACCA
RNAcentral lists this transfer RNA (86 nucleotides) under Nocardioides cavernaquae. RNAcentral describes it as "Nocardioides sp. K1W22B-1 tRNA-Leu". It matches the Rfam family "tRNA". From Rfam's summary of the family: Transfer RNA (tRNA) molecules are approximately 80 nucleotides in length. Their secondary structure includes four short double-helical elements and three loops (D, anti-codon, and T loops). The record is from RNAcentral. Lineage: Bacteria; Bacillati; Actinomycetota; Actinomycetes; Propionibacteriales; Nocardioidaceae.